Molecule: ribosomal RNA, 221 nt
Filed under: Glomeraceae sp.
Lineage: Eukaryota; Fungi; Glomeromycota; Glomeromycetes; Glomerales; Glomeraceae
Description: partial small subunit ribosomal RNA
Rfam family: Eukaryotic small subunit ribosomal RNA (bases 95-221)
Source: RNAcentral
GGAUCAGUAUGCUGGUCGUGCCUUCGGUACUAUGCACUGGUGUCACUGAUUCCUCCCUUCUGAAGAACCGUAAUGCCAUUCAGUUGGUGUGGCGGGGAAUCAGGAUUGUUACUUUGAAAAAAUUAGAGUGUUUAAAGCAGGCUCGCGCUUGAAUACAUUAGCAUGGAAUAAUGAAAUAGGACGUUUGAUCCUAUUUUGUUGGUUUCUAGGAUCGACGUAAU